GAUGAACGCUGGCGGCGUGCCUAAUACAUGCAAGUCGAGCGAACAGAUAAGGAGCUUGCUCCUUUGAAGUUAGCGGCGGACGGGUGAGUAACACGUGGGUAACCUACCUAUAAGACUGGGAUAACUUCGGGAAACCGGAGCUAAUACCGGAUAACAUUUAGAACCGCAUGGCUCUAAAGUGAAAGAUGGUUUUGCUAUCACUUAUAGAUGGACCCGCGCCGUAUUAGCUAGUUGGUAAGGUAACGGCUUACCAAGGCGACGAUACGUAGCCGACCUGAGAGGGUGAUCGGCCACACUGGAACUGAGACACGGUCCAGACUCCUACGGGAGGCAGCAGUAGGGAAUCUUCCGCAAUGGGCGAAAGCCUGACGGAGCAACGCCGCGUGAGUGAUGAAGGGUUUCGGCUCGUAAAACUCUGUUAUUAGGGAAGAACAAAUGUGUAAGUAACUGUGCACAUCUUGACGGUACCUAAUCAGAAAGCCACGGCUAACUACGUGCCAGCAGCCGCGGUAAUACGUAGGUGGCAAGCGUUAUCCGGAAUUAUUGGGCGUAAAGCGCGCGUAGGCGGUUUCUUAAGUCUGAUGUGAAAGCCCACGGCUCAACCGUGGAGGGUCAUUGGAAACUGGGAAACUUGAGUGCAGAAGAGGAAAGUGGAAUUCCAUGUGUAGCGGUGAAAUGCGCAGAGAUAUGGAGGAACACCAGUGGCGAAGGCGACUUUCUGGUCUGUAACUGACGCUGAUGUGCGAAAGCGUGGGGAUCAAACAGGAUUAGAUACCCUGGUAGUCCACGCCGUAAACGAUGAGUGCUAAGUGUUAGGGGGUUUCCGCCCCUUAGUGCUGCAGCUAACGCAUUAAGCACUCCGCCUGGGGAGUACGACCGCAAGGUUGAAACUCAAAGGAAUUGACGGGGACCCGCACAAGCGGUGGAGCAUGUGGUUUAAUUCGAAGCAACGCGAAGAACCUUACCAAAUCUUGACAUCCUUUGAAAACUCUAGAGAUAGAGCCUUCCCCUUCGGGGGACAAAGUGACAGGUGGUGCAUGGUUGUCGUCAGCUCGUGUCGUGAGAUGUUGGGUUAAGUCCCGCAACGAGCGCAACCCUUAAGCUUAGUUGCCAUCAUUAAGUUGGGCACUCUAGGUUGACUGCCGGUGACAAACCGGAGGAAGGUGGGGAUGACGUCAAAUCAUCAUGCCCCUUAUGAUUUGGGCUACACACGUGCUACAAUGGACAAUACAAAGGGCAGCUAAACCGCGAGGUCAUGCAAAUCCCAUAAAGUUGUUCUCAGUUCGGAUUGUAGUCUGCAACUCGACUACAUGAAGCUGGAAUCGCUAGUGAUCGUAGAUCAGCAUGCUACGGUGAAUACGUUCCCGGGUCU
RNAcentral lists this ribosomal RNA (1372 nucleotides) under uncultured bacterium. Its description in RNAcentral is "bacterial SSU rRNA". It matches the Rfam family "Bacterial small subunit ribosomal RNA", at positions 28 to 1381 of the family's 1533-position model. The record is from RNAcentral.